Long non-coding RNA from Mytilus californianus (California mussel), 235 nucleotides. RefSeq lists it as uncharacterized. The transcript is spliced from 5 exons. NCBI's taxonomy places the organism in Eukaryota, Metazoa, Mollusca, Bivalvia, Mytilida, Mytilidae. The record is from RefSeq and is a predicted model, not a curated record.
AAAUGGAAGGAGGAAGGUCGAUCAUUUAAAACGAUAGAAAGAAGGAGGAAGAUCAAUCGGUACGAAGUCUUAUUGAUAUCAGAACAUGGAAUCUUGGAUUAAAGCAAAAUUUGAAGAGUUGGGCCAAGAUCUGAAGAAUGAAAUAAGAGAACAACAUAUAGCAACAGUUACAGACCUGAAAAUGUUUGUUGAAAGAAAACUAACCAAACAGAAGGAAGCAAAAGAAAGAGGUAAA